This is a non-coding RNA of Castor canadensis (American beaver), 1257 nucleotides long. The record is from RefSeq and is a predicted model, not a curated record. NCBI's taxonomy places the organism in Eukaryota, Metazoa, Chordata, Mammalia, Rodentia, Castoridae.
UGCGCACUGUGCUGGUCUCCAUGGCGGGGCCUCGGAGCCAAGACGAGGAGGAUGGAUGGAGGUACUACUCUCCAGAUCCCAAAGUCACUUUGUAAGGCGUUCUCCCGAAAGAAAGCUCCAAGAGGGGGUCUUCAAGAGAGCAAUUUAGGAUCAGGCAGAACUGGAUUGCAGAAUGUAUGGGCGUAGCAGUAUGUGUGCAGAGAAAAUGCUACUGUGAAGACACAAUUGUAGCUUUCACAUAAAUGAAACUACCACUAUUAUGAUUUAGUACCACCAAAAGGAGUGAUUUCAAUGAACAAAAAAUGGCCAAUAGAAUGCUGACACCUGGAAUUUAAACUUGAGCCACUACCUGAAGGUAAUUUUUUUGUUUUAGAUGUUUUGAGAUGAUGUCGCUAUGUAACCGUAGGUGGCCUUGAAAACAGUCCUCCUGCCUCAGCCUCCCAAGUGCUGGAAUUACAGGUGUGUGACACCAUGCUGGACUUUGAAAAUAACAACUUUAUUAAAGUUAAAUAUUUUCUGUUAUAUGUUAAUGGAAAAGCAAAAUUAUACUUUCUAUAUAGGUACUUUGUUCUAUUUAUGGUCACCACUGGGGGGAAAACAUCUUAUACCUAGCUAAUAUUAGUAGUAUCUUUAUUCUUAACAACUUCGACAUAUUUAAUUGGGAGUUAGGGUUCAUAAUUUAUAGCAUGUACUGACAUUGAGGAUAGAUGGGGAAUUGGUAUUUUAAGUCAUUCUACAAUGUCAGGAUUGAAGAAAGUAAUGUAAAUUAUCUUUUUUCCAUUGGGCAAAUUCUGACAAAGGUGAUUUGUGCUCAGCAGUCUUUAUCAAUGUCGUUUCACACCUUUAUUAGAGUACUUGCCUGGGAUAUGUGUACUCCCCUCGGUCUUCACUAUAGCAGCUAGCUCACAACUGCUGGAUCGUUUUCCCAGUCUUUGGCUAAUCUUCUCAUUCCUUUGACAUUGUCUUUACAGAGAGCAGACGUUUUUAAUUUCAAUGAAGUCCAGCUUUCCAGUUACUUCUUUAAUGGUUUGUGUCUUUGGUGUUGUGUCUCAAAAGUCAUUACCGUAGCCAAGGUCUUCUAGCUUUUCUCCUAUGUUAAUCUCUAGGAAUUGCAUAGUUUAAUUUUUCGAAGGAUGUACUUGGUCUGUCUAAAUCCGUUUUUUUGCAUGUAAGUGUCUUUUUAUUCUAUCACUAUUUGUUGAAAAGACUAUCCUUUCUCCACUGAAUUACUUUUGCUCCUUUGUCAAAGAUCAGUUG